CCUACGGGUGGCAGCAGUGGGGAAUAUUGCACAAUGGGGGAAACCCUGAUGCAGCGACGCCGCGUGAGUGAAGAAGGAUUUCGGAAUGUAAAGCUCUGUCAGCAGGGAAGAAAAUGACGGUACCUGACUAAGAAGCCACGGCUAAAUACGUGCCAGCAGCCGCGGGAAUACGUAGGGGGCAAGCGUUAUCCAGAUUUACGGGGUGGAAAGGGAGCGGAGACGGGAAGUCAAGUCAGGAGUGAAAGCCCAGGGCUAAACCCGGGGACUGCGUUUGAAACUGGCGGGCUGGAGUGCAGGAGAGGUAAGCGGAAUUCCUAGUGUAGCGGUGAAAUGCGUAGAUAUUAGGAGGAACAUCAGUGGCGAAGGCGGCUGACUGGACCGUAACUGACGUUGAGGCGCGAAAGCGUGGGGAGCAAACAGGAUUAGAUACCCCUGUAGUC
Molecule: ribosomal RNA, 440 nt
Filed under: uncultured bacterium
Lineage: Bacteria
Description: partial 16S ribosomal RNA
Rfam family: Bacterial small subunit ribosomal RNA
Source: RNAcentral